Molecule: transfer RNA, 72 nt
Organism: Toxocara canis (dog roundworm)
Lineage: Eukaryota; Metazoa; Nematoda; Chromadorea; Rhabditida; Toxocaridae
Rfam family: tRNA
About the family: Transfer RNA (tRNA) molecules are approximately 80 nucleotides in length. Their secondary structure includes four short double-helical elements and three loops (D, anti-codon, and T loops). Further hydrogen bonds mediate the characteristic L-shaped molecular structure. tRNAs have two regions of fundamental functional importance: the anti-codon, which is responsible for specific mRNA codon recognition, and the 3' end, to which the tRNAs corresponding amino acid is attached (by aminoacyl-tRNA synthetases). tRNAs cope with the degeneracy of the genetic code in two manners: having more than one tRNA (with a specific anti-codon) for a particular amino acid; and 'wobble' base-pairing, i.e. permitting non-standard base-pairing at the 3rd anti-codon position.
Source: Rfam
GGGGAUAUAGCUCAGGGGCAGAGCGCUCCCUUACCAUGGGAGAGGGCUGGGGUUCAAUUCCCCAUAUAUCCA